UACAGAGGGUGCGAGCGUUUAUCGGAAUUACUGGGCGUAAAGGGUGCGUAGGUGGUUCGAUAAGUCAGAUGUGAAAUCCCUGGGCUUAACCUGGGAAUUGCAUUUGAUACUGUCAAACUAGAGUGUGGUAGAGGUAAGCGGAAUUCCCGGUGUAGCGGUGAAAUGCGUAGAUAUCGGGAGGAACAUCAGUGGCGAAGGCGGCUUACUGGACCAACACUGACACUGAGGCACGAAAGCGUGGGUAGCAAACAGGAUUAGAAACCCCCGUAGUCC
This 273-nucleotide ribosomal RNA is filed under the name uncultured bacterium. RNAcentral describes it as "partial 16S ribosomal RNA". It matches the Rfam family "Bacterial small subunit ribosomal RNA", at positions 524 to 796 of the family's 1533-position model. The record is from RNAcentral.